Molecule: ribosomal RNA, 505 nt
Filed under: uncultured Glomeromycotina
Lineage: Eukaryota; Fungi; Glomeromycota
Description: partial small subunit ribosomal RNA
Rfam family: Eukaryotic small subunit ribosomal RNA
Source: RNAcentral
CCAAUAGCGUAUAUUAAAGUUGUUGCAGUUAAAAAGCUCGUAGUUGAAUUUCGGGAUUGACACAUCGGUCGUGCCUUAAGGGGUAUGAACUGGUGUAGUCAAUUUCUCACCUUCUGGAGAACCGCGAUGCCCUUAAUUGGGUGUCGCGGGGAACCAGGACCUUUACUUUGAAAAAAUUAGAGUGUUUAAAGCAGGCAUUUUGCUUGAAUACAUUAGCAUGGAAUAAUAAAAUAGGACGGCAUGAUUCUAUUUUGUUGGUUUCUAGGAUCACCGUAAUGAUUAAUAGGGAUAGUGUGGGGCAUUAGUAUUCAAUUGUCAGAGGUGAAAUUCUUGGAUUUAUUGAAGACUAACUACUGCGAAAGCAUUUGACAAGGAUGUUUUCAUUAAUCAAGAACGAAAGUUAGGGGAUCGAAGACGAUCAGAUACCGUCGUAGUCUUAACCAUAAACUAUGCCGACUAGGAAUCAGACGAUGUUAAUUUUUUAAUGACUCGUUUGGCACCUUAC